This 3836-nucleotide long non-coding RNA is filed under the name Equus caballus (horse). RNAcentral's name for it is "lncRNA (ENSECAG00000055745.1)". The record is from RNAcentral. Lineage: Eukaryota; Metazoa; Chordata; Mammalia; Perissodactyla; Equidae.
UAUUUAUUUUACUCAUUAUAUAUAAAUGUAUAGACAGACAUACAUUAUUCAUAUAUAUGCAUUAUACAUAUGAAUGCAUGUGUUAUGGUAAUUUUGACUUCAUGCUGUUUUCAUCUUCCACAUUUACUUUACAACAUAAUGCUCUUGGACAAGAUCUGACGCCACUGCACAUGUUCCCAAGGCUGGCAUUGGAUGGCUACUUCACAAAUGCUUAGGUCUGUGUUGCAUAAAAUGUUUUUCGCAGAAGAUGGUGGAAGAACUGUUGUCUCAGGCUGAGUCCUGCUUAGACUUCUUGUAGACGCUGUGUGCCCCACCCAGAACCCUUUUACAUGGCCGGUGGAUGCAGCAGCUACCACAGGUGUCAGUGGUUAAGAGCACAUAGCUGUCCUUCAUACCUCUUUUCUAGAGUAUUAUCUCAAUCAACAGGAGCUGCUUUUCCCAGAAACAUUUGGAAAUUAUUCCCCUUACCCCAGAGUGGAGGCAGCCCAAAGCCAAUGACUGAUAUCAGGGCACAAAGCUGGACCCCUUACCUCAAGGAGAUGAUAACACUGUGGUACCAUUCACACUCCAGACUCUCUGUGUGAUUAGUCUGAGGCUAGACUCAGAUGACAUCACAUCCUUACUUGGCUCCUUCCUUUGCCCUAUCCUGCAUCCCUUACUUCUCUUCUCUUGGGAGCUCACUUUCAAUAGUCACUUGCACAAAAACCCCCAUCUUGAGGCUCUUCAUUCAGGGUACCCAACCUAAAACCCUCUGAACCUAUUUUCCUACUGUGAGUCAUCCCUAAAGGUUGAUAGUGUACCAAAGAUAGGUCAACCUGACGAAUACACCUUCCAGUAUUGAAGCCUCCGUUACCCAAUGAGAAUGGGAAAUGAUGCAUCCCACAUAACUAAAUUUCUACCACUUAAGCCCUGAAACUAUUUUACCAAUAGGAGCUGUUGGAAAAUAAUUUUGUGACAUCAAUGAAGUGAGAAAUUUCCUGGGCUUGAAAUCAUAAGACCUUAUUUUUCAACCAGACUCCAUAGUUAACUUAUUCUGUGGAUGUAGGCAAGGCCCUUCGCUGGAGGCUCAUUGUCAUUGUUGACAAGAUGGGGAUCAUCCAAUUCUCCCGAUCACUUUGUAGAUUGCUGUGAGGGACCAAUUGAUAAUGAAUGUGAAAGCAUUUUGAAAACUGCCAAGUGGAUUUAUUAGUCCCGAUUCUCUUGUAUGCAAGAGAAAAUAGCCAUCAACUUAGAAAGGGUCUGUAAAAGCUUGUGUGUCUAAGGAGUUCACAGUGUGAGACGAGGAUCCGAUUCAGGAAUUCGGUCACCACUGGAAUUUUGUCUUCCCUCCAAUUUCUUAGCAACUCUGAUAUCUUUUUAGCGUUGUUCUAAGAAAGGCUCUCUGUAUGUGGAAGAAAGGCGGUUUCAGUUAGCAUUCCUCCAUUCCCACCACCUAUCCAGGCUUCAGAGCAUCCUUAGAGCUUAUGAUCCAGGGGAGAAGAGGACAACUUUCUGCAUAACUUGGGAAAAAAUCAGGGGGCAAACUGUUGGGGCAGGCUUGGGUCAUGUGCCCAUCCCUGAAGCAAUGGCUGUGUGCUAUAGAAGGGAAUACGCUAAUUGGACAGAACCAGGUUUUAUGCCCUCUUCUAGGGUCAUGGAGUUCAGCUCCACCAGAACCAAAUGGAACAAUCAGAAAUGCUGUGGGAUGUGGAAGUGAUAAUUUUCCUAAAAACCAGCACGGCAGCUGGUUCAAAGAAUGAGUAUACCAAGAAGCAAGGCCAUAUGUACUUGCAUCAUGCUUGCUAAUGUCCCAUUGGCAAUGGCCAGACGCAUACUCAAUCAAGUCCAUACUCAAUGCUGGAGGAGAACACACAAUGGCAAGAAUACCAGGAGGCACACACACAGAUUACAGAAGUUACAGCACACUGCAGCAUGAGGAGAAUAUUGUGGAUUCCAUCAGGAAUUUCUUUCCUAUAUAAUCUCAGUGCACACUGCUGCCGCCAUAUUUUUGCACCUAAGUGAUAUGAACAGCAGUCAGCUGUGAAAACUGAAGUUUGCUUCCACCAUGCAUGGAAAUUACUUCAAUAAAUUUUACUUGAAUAAAUGAAAUUGAAUGCAAACACUUAUAUGUCUAAGACUCCUGCCUAUCAGGACUGACAGCCAUCUCCACGUGGCUGACCAAAGCUGCAAAAGAUGCAACAGCCCAUCAUGGGCCUUUUGACUUACAGGCAAACACAUCACAGAGUCCACGCUACUGCUUCAUGCCGUGAACUGCUUCGUGGGAACUUACGUCAGUGAGGAAGUACAGAACCAAAUGAGGUCAGUUCUCUCCUUUGCAAGCUCCUCUUAGGCCCAGAGGAAAACUACACUCUACGUUACUCAAGAUUAAAACACUUUUCCCCAAAAUAGAGUUUCCUAGGCCUAUGACUUAACAAGGCAAGCAGGACCAACCUGCUCACUUGAGAGUAAGCCUCUUGAGGGUAGAGUCUUAAGUCAUCGGUACUCAAAGCGGUUAUUCCAUAACAUUUACUGAACAUGUGCAAUGGGCGCUAGCACUGUGAUGGUUUCUUUAAUCAUCACAUUAACCAAAGAAACAUAAGCUCCUUGAGAAUAAAGACUUUGCCCAGCUCAUUCAACAUAAUAUCUCCAGUAGCUUGGAUGAUGGCCAGCACAUAGCAGGUAUGCAAUAAACAUCAGUUGAUAGAGUAAACAACCUGUAAAUUAGAUAAUGUACUGAUUUUAUAGGAAAAAAACCCCCCAGAAGUUCAGAAAUUACGUAACUUCGCCUAAAUCACACAGCUAGUGCAUGUCAGGGCCAGAAUUCCAAAAAUGGUCCAUGAGCCUCUGAAAUGCACACUGGAUCCAUCCUGCUCUCCUCUUUUUACUACCUUACAAUAGAGUAUGACAUCUCUCCUCUUCUGGGGGUGCCCAAGUGCUGUGAAGAUGGCCUCUUGCUUCUUAUUUUAACCAAACGCCCACUCUUCUCUCUCUGGCACAAGACUACAUAUCAGAACAAAUUCAGUGACGGAGAAUCAAGUCUAAUUUUUAUAGUUUUGGUAGGUCAUUCACAAAGUAUAGCAACAAAUUACUAGUAACACAGUAGUGUGUACUGGAACUCUGGCCAAAAAUCACUAUACUUAGGGUUGCUUGAUUUAGCAAAUAAAAAUAUAGGAUGCCUAGUUAAACUUGAAUUUCAAAUAAACACCAAACCAUAUUACAAUAUUAAUAUCAUGCAAUAUUUGGGGCAUAUAUACUAAAAAAUCAUUUGUUGUUUGUCUGAAACGCGAGUUUAACUGGUGUACUGUAUUUUAUCUGGCAAUUUUUUUUGUUUUUGAGGAAGAUUAGCCCUAAGCUAACUACUGCCAAUCCUCCUCUUUUUUGCUGAGGAAGCCUGGCCCUGAGCUAACAUCCAUGCCCAUCUUCCUCCACUUUAUACUUGGGAUGCCUAUCACAGCAUGGUGUGCCAAACCGUGCCAUGUCCACACCCAGCAUCCGAACCGGCGAACCCCAGGCCACCGAGAAGCGGAACGUGCACACUUUGCUGCACCACUGGGCUGCCCCUUAUCUGGCAAUCUUAACUAUAGUAUAUCACGCACUCUGCCCAUCGCAAUAGCAGGAGCCAAAAGGUAUUGGUUAAACAGAUAAAUGAAUGGAUGGAUAGAAGAAUAGAUAAGUAAGUGAACAAAUGAUUAUUUAGAAUCUCUAAUUGUCUGUUUCUGGCAUUGUAUGUAGGCAAAUAUCAGCAUGCAUCCUAUUUUAUGUCAUCUGCAACAUCAUCAUAUGUCCUUUAGUCAGAGCUUAUCAUUCAGGGCCACGGGGGUCAUUUGACUGGGGCUGUGUAAUCAUGAAAGGCUCCG